This 331-nucleotide unclassified non-coding RNA is filed under the name soil metagenome. Its description in RNAcentral is "partial contains 5.8S ribosomal RNA, internal transcribed spacer 2, and large subunit ribosomal RNA". The stretch from base 1 to 120 matches the Rfam family "5.8S ribosomal RNA", at positions 35 to 154 of the family's 154-position model. The record is from RNAcentral.
GAUGAAGAACGUAGCGAAAUGCGAUAAGUAAUGUGAAUUGCAGAAUUCAGUGAAUCAUCGAAUCUUUGAACGCACAUUGCGCCCCCUGGUAUUUCGGGGGGCAUGCCUGUUCGAGCGUCAUUUCACCACUCAAGCCUCGCUUGGUAUUGGGCAACGCGGUCCGCCGCGUGCCUCAAAUCGACCGGCUGGGUCUUCUGUCCCCUAAGCGUUGUGGAAACUAUUCGCUAAAGGGUGCUCGGGAGGCUACGCCGUAAAACAAACCCAUUUCUAAGGUUGACCUCGGAUCAGGUAGGGAUACCCGCUGAACUUAAGCAUAUCAAUAAGCGGAGGA